AUUGAACGCUGGCGGCAUGCCUUACACAUGCAAGUCGAACGGCAGCACGGGAGCUUGCUCCUGGUGGCGAGUGGCGAACGGGUGAGUAAUACAUCGGAACGUACCCAGUAGUGGGGGAUAACGCACCGAAAGGUGCGCUAAUACCGCAUACGACCUACGGGUGAAAGCGGGGGACCGUAAGGCCUCGCGCUAUUGGAGCGGCCGAUGUCUGAUUAGCUAGUUGGCGGGGUAAUAGCCCACCAAGGCGACGAGCAGUAGCUGGUCUGAGAGGACGAGCAGCCACACUGGGACGGGGACACGGCCCAGACUCCUACGGGAGGCAGCAGUGGGGAAUUUUGGACAAUGGGGGCAACCCUGAUCCAGCAAUGCCGCGUGUGCGAAGAAGGCCUUCGGGUUGUAAAGCACUUUUGUCCGGAAAGAAAUGGCUCUGGUUAAUACCUGGGGUCGAUGCCGGUACCGGAAGAAUAAGGACCGGCUAACUACGUGCCAGCCGCCGCAGUAA
RNAcentral lists this ribosomal RNA (502 nucleotides) under uncultured bacterium. RNAcentral describes it as "partial 16S ribosomal RNA". It matches the Rfam family "Bacterial small subunit ribosomal RNA", at positions 29 to 523 of the family's 1533-position model. The record is from RNAcentral.